This 253-nucleotide ribosomal RNA is filed under the name uncultured bacterium. RNAcentral's name for it is "partial 16S ribosomal RNA". It matches the Rfam family "Bacterial small subunit ribosomal RNA", at positions 524 to 776 of the family's 1533-position model. The record is from RNAcentral.
GACAGAGGAUGCAAGCGUUAUUCGGAAUUAUUGGGCGUAAAGGGCGCGUAGGCGGCGAUUCAAGUGACGGGUGAAAUCCCUCGGCUUAACCGAGGAACUGCCUGUCAGACUGGGUUGCUUGAGACCGGGAGAGGCGAGUGGAAUUCCCAGUGUAGCGGUGAAAUGCGUAGAUAUUGGGAGGAACACCAGUGGCGAAGGCGGCUCGCUGGACCGGAACUGACGCUGAGGCGCGAAAGCGUGGGGAGCAAACAGG